RNAcentral lists this long non-coding RNA (594 nucleotides) under Coffea arabica (coffee). Its description in RNAcentral is "long non-coding RNA (CARA_LNC002543)". The record is from RNAcentral. Lineage: Eukaryota; Viridiplantae; Streptophyta; Magnoliopsida; Gentianales; Rubiaceae.
ACCUCUAAAUUGUGCAUUUUUGCAGUUUCCGUCCAGUUUUUCUGCUUCUUGAACUUCUUUAUCUGCCCUCUUGGAGUUCUCUGCACUAAUUGUGUCUUUACCACUACAAUUUGCAUCAAUGCAGUUCUCCAACUGUUUUAGAGUUGGGUGAGUGAUGUCCCAGGAUUUAUCAGAUUGUUCUGUUUCUUGAGCAUCUUCAUCCAUCGUCUUAGAUUUCUCAGUAACAGCUUUCUCAUUAACAAGGUUCUCCAACUGUUUUAGAGUUGGGUGAGUGAUGUCCCAGGAUUUAUCAGAUUGUUCUGUUUCUUGAGCAUCUUCAUCCAUCAUCUUAGAUUUCUCAGUAACAGCUUUCUCAUUAACAAGGUUCUCCAACUGUUUUAGAGUUGGGUGAGUGAUGUCCCAGGAUUUAUCAGAUUGUUCUGUUUCUUGAGCAUCUUCAUCCAUCGUCUUAGAUUUCUCAGUAACAGCUUUCUCAUUAACAAGGUACUUUGCACUGUUGCAGUUCCCAUCAUUGCACUGCCCCUCAUUGUUAACUUCUGCAUAACAGGGAUUUUCCAGCAUUAGAUAGCUAUUGAUCUCUAUAUUUCCCUGUUC